AGUGAACGCUGGCGGUAGGCCUAACACAUGCAAGUCGAACGGCAGCACAGUAAGAGCUUGCUCUUACGGGUGGCGAGUGGCGGGCGGGUGAGGAAUACAUCGGAAUCUACUUUUUCGUGGGGGAUAACGUAGGGAAACUUACGCUAAUACCGCAUACGACCUACGGGUGAAAGCAGGGGAUCUUCGGACCUUGCGCGAUUGAAUGAGCCGAUGUCGGAUUAGCUAGUUGGCGGGGUAAAGGCCCACCAAGGCGACGAUCCGUAGCUGGUCUGAGAGGAUGAUCAGCCACACUGGAACUGAGACACGGUCCAGACUCCUACGGGAGGCAGCAGUGGGGAAUAUUGGACAAUGGGCGCAAGCCUGAUCCAGCCAUACCGCGUGGGUGAAGAAGGCCUUCGGGUUGUAAAGCCCUUUUGUUGGGAAAGAAAAGCAGCAGGUUAAUACCCCGCUGUUCUGGCGGUACCCAAAGAAUAAGCACCGGCUAACUUCGU
This 491-nucleotide ribosomal RNA is filed under the name uncultured bacterium. RNAcentral's name for it is "partial 16S ribosomal RNA". It matches the Rfam family "Bacterial small subunit ribosomal RNA", at positions 29 to 506 of the family's 1533-position model. The record is from RNAcentral.